Molecule: ribosomal RNA, 870 nt
Filed under: uncultured Actinomycetes bacterium
Lineage: Bacteria; Bacillati; Actinomycetota; Actinomycetes
Description: bacterial SSU rRNA
Rfam family: Bacterial small subunit ribosomal RNA
Source: RNAcentral
CAGCCGCGGUAAUACAUAGGGUGCAAGCGUGUCCGGAAUUAUGGGCGUAAAGAGCUCGUAGGUGGUUAGUUACGUCGGAUGUGAAAAUCAGGGGCUCAACCCCUGACCUGCAUCCGAUACGGACUAGCUAGAGUUUGGUAGGGGAGACUGGAAUUCCUGGUGUAGCGGUGGAAUGCGCAGAUAUCAGGAGGAACACCGAUGGCGAAGGCAGGUCUCUGGGCCAAUACUGACACUGAGGAGCGAAAGCGUGGGGAGCGAACAGGAUUAGAUACCCUGGUAGUCCACGCCGUAAACGGUGGGCGCUAGUUGUGCGAACCUUCCACGGUUUGUGCGACGCAGCUAACGCAUUAAGCGCCCCGCCUGGGGAGUACGAUCGCAAGAUUAAAACUCAAAGGAAUUGACGGGGCCCCGCACAAGCAGCGGAGCAUGCGGCUUAAUUCGACGCAACGCGAAGAACCUUACCAAGGCUUGACAUAUACAGGAAUACGGCAGAGAUGUCGUAGCGGUAAAACGUCUGUAUACAGGUGGUGCAUGGUUGUCGUCAGCUCGUGUCGUGAGAUGUUGGGUUAAGUCCCGCAACGAGCGCAACCCUCGUUCUGUGUUGCCAGCAUUUAGUUGGGGACUCACAGGAGACUGCCGGGGUUAACUCGGAGGAAGGUGGGGAUGACGUCAAAUCAUCAUGCCCCUUAUGUCUUGGGCUGCACGCAUGCUACAAUGGCUGGUACAAACGGCUGCGAUACCGCAAGGUGGAGCGAAUCCGAUAAAGCCAGUCUCAGUUCGGAUUGGGGUUUGCAACUCGACCCCAUGAAGUCGGAGUUGCUAGUAAUCGUAGAUCAGCAACGCUACGGUGAAUACGUUCCCGGGGCUUGU